RNAcentral lists this ribosomal RNA (1867 nucleotides) under Triticum aestivum (bread wheat). RNAcentral's name for it is "partial small subunit ribosomal RNA". Lineage: Eukaryota; Viridiplantae; Streptophyta; Magnoliopsida; Poales; Poaceae. The record is from RNAcentral.
CCUGACCUGGACUCUCGUUCAGUUCCCACCUUAUCUCCAUCUCCCUCACCCACAACACAGGUUGCGCCGCCGCCGUUGUCGCUUCCUUGGGCUUGUAGCUCCUCAUGGCACAGUCUUCAACCACCUUGUAGGAACGUUGAAUCCAUCUCCGCCUAGCCGCCGCUGUCCUCGUUCUCCUGUCUUUCUUGUGGCGUCGGCGAGCUCCAUCCCUAGAUCGGUGGCGCACUACGCCCAUCAAGAAUUCUACGCCAUAUCUGAAGUCGUUGGCGCGGCACGACCAGAUCGACCAUGAUCAAGCAGUUAGCCGGAGGGCGGAAGUUGGGGUUGUUUCAGUUGGGGGUAUGUGUUCUGACCUCGUCAGCUUUGGUUAGCACAUCAGAUAAGGAACGCGGGUUUACCCCCACACUGGAGGUUUGUGCUGCUAAUUAUCUGCACUUGAUGCUCUUAUUUAAGAUACUGGUCAGGUAAUCAUCCUGUAUACUGUCAUAACUUUGUAGAUAAAAUUAGGCCUUCCCAAUACUAACAAAGUUGUUGAUGGGUGAAUAAAUCAUUACGAUUAAUCUUUAAGUAUGGUUGUUAUUGCGACUAGAUUCUUCCCUGAUCUUCGUGCAGCAUGUCUCAGUAGCCCCAUCGUCCGUUAUUAGCUACAAACCGUUGUUUCCACUCAGGCAGAUUAAUGGAUGCACGUGUCACGUGUGAAACCGAUUGACAUUCCAAGUGAAGUUGACAGUGAAGGGAAUAGGAUGGAUGUGGUGGUCCACUUGUUGAUUUUGAUGGGAACAUUGUUUGGAAGAAUGACACACAUGAUCAGAAAAUUACUGGAUGUGUACAAACAAAUAAAAUUCGUGGAUAUUUGAGGGAUAUUUGGUUAUGGUGGUUCUCAUAUGAUCGUUUGGGGGAUUCUUGGAGGAUAGAUAUAUCCAUAAUUGUGAUAUUACUAUGAUAUUUGUAUACCGCAUGAUUGUGGACAAUGGUGCACCUGAAGAUGCACAUCCUGGUACAAGGUCGUCUAAGAAACUAGGGAUGUCCAUGGAUAUAUCAGUCCUAAUAUGUCUUAGAUUCAGCAUUUGGCUCGGACAUAUGGAACACAAGACCACUCCAACUAAGUCCAGAUGGUUUAUAAUUGGACUCCACCGAUCAUUACGCAACUCCGGAAAAGGCAUCUUUUGAAAAAGAAACAGUUGGUGAAGAUUUGCAGAAUAUUCGGCUGGCGAGAUGGUACACAGGCGAUCAUUUCAGCAAGGCCAUUGCAAACGAGAGUGAUCAUCGGCGUCUCAAUCAGGGUGUGGACAAGACCAUUUGAGUGGAGGACAAGAAGAAGUGCAAUUUUGUUCCUUAAUGGACGGGGUGGAUGGUUGACCUGCUGGGUGAUCAUCUCUUCUCUCUUCCAUCCUCUUGAUUUACUUACCCUUAUCACCUUAUCACGUGAGCUUUGUCUGAUGUUUACGUUUGCUGUUGUUUUCCGUUCUCCACUGGCGCACUGUUGUGCACCAUGGAAUGUGUCUGUCGUCUUAAUUCGGAACUUGGUAGCGUGUGAGCUCUGGCACUGGCAGGCCGGCUGGUUCAUCACUCUCCUCUGAUGCUGAUCAGCUUGUGGUUGUGGGAACGCCUGUGCUGUGUGUGGACAUGCAUGGUCCUUUGGAACCUAACCAUGCAUUAGGUAUAGUUUAAGAGCAUCUCCAACAGGCGCCCAAUAUCAGCCUCGUACCUAAAAAAAUCACAAGUUUAGCGCGCGCAGAGCUAAAAAUAACACUCCAGCGGACGCUGUAUAAUAGAGCACGCCGUAAAAAGUGUUCAGCGCGCACGAAGAAACUGGACCCGAAGCCGUAUAUUUGGGGCGUGAGCUCCAGCGCGCCGAACAUCCCAC